AAGUGCUCCUUGUUUCCUGCGGGGGGUUUUUUCCGUGCGCAACCACCAGAGUGCGCGCAACUGCAGUUUAAAAACCCUGAGUUACAAAACUUCUCCAAACCUUCCUGUUGUCGGUCCGGGGCGCUAAGACUUCCGAUAUUGUGCUGGUUUCAACAAGACGGAAACCGACAAUUAGAGCUGAUUUUGCGACUAGAUGCAAGAAAAGGUGCUUACCAUUUUUUUUUUUUUUUUUUUGCAGAGACAACGAAACGCUGACGUUCGUACCCCGUUAUGUCUGCGUGUGUGCAGGAAGUGGGCACAGCCGAAAAGAGAAGCUGCCACGGUAGCGUGCAUCACCAACCACAAUGUUCAGACUCAACUCUUCACCCCUCAGCUUCUCUUUGCAGAGGGGGAAGUGGGAGUUUGCUGAGGCUGACCUGCUGAUAAACACUGCCAGGCCUUGAACUAUGCUGGAUUAUUAUUUUUUUAUUUGUAGAAACGAACGAAUAGAUAAGAAACGUGCGCAUUAGAUCUGUGGAUGCGUUUUUAGCAGCUUCUGUCUUUGAAGUUCGCAGAACAUUCAGUUAUGCAUGUUUUGCAAUAUUCUUCAUAAAAACUCUCGAUAUGUAUCACAGGCACCAGAUGAUGAUGCUGAUUUGUAGUUCGUGACCUUGCUGUCACUGUCAGUGUUAUCUAGCCGAUGUCCUCCCACACACUGUUAAACAGAAAAGAUCACGUUAAUAGGCUCUGUUUUAAUAGUCAAAAUCAUUUGCACCUAGAGACAGACAUAGGCUACUCAAGUUAGAGAUUGAUUGAUUGAUUGAUUAAAAAAGUAAUAAACCUAGUUAAAUAAUUCUCCUUUUGAGAUAACAAAACAAACAAAACAAAAAAGAACUUGUGCCACUGCGAUCUGAGAAACAGGUGUAUCUGUGUUUCUAUCUCAUGUUCACCUUCGCAGGAGACUGUGUGAGAGGGGAAGUGUUUGCACACUGUUGAUCAUCUACACUCUUGCUCUAGUGAUACAGACAGGGCAGAAGAAGAGCCAAUCAUUUUGUUAUAAGGCCGGAGGAAGGCGAGGGAACAUUUUGCCACUCCUUCUAUCUCUUGCUCUCUUUUCCUUCUUCCCGUCUCCCUCUUUUCUGUUGCCAUGGUGGCAGGGGUGCGUGACAGUCAUGUGAAAACGAAGCCGAUUGGAUUAAAAUACUUGGUGUGAUCAGGGGUCGGGGAUACUGCACACGAACUAAACACACCAUAAACUGAUUAUGCACACACAUCGUCUCUGAAUGGUUUGCAGGCAAAGUUAAUGGUGUGUGUGAACAAGUAUUGGAAUUGUUUUGGAGAAAAUUAUAGAGAACAAAAAUAUAUUAUGUCAUUCUGUAUUAACUUAGUAUUUUUAUAAGGAAUAUGUCCAAUUGUGUGAAAAAAUGCACUAAAUACUGUCCUUGGUACAAGGAAAAAAUAUAUAAUGGUAAAAAUGUACAAUGGCAACAGCACUUUCUGCCAAAAUACCAUAGUUACUACUAGUUAUUUUUACUGUAAAAUAAUAAUAUGUAUUUCUAAUACAAUAUAAUAUUAGACAUGUACACACAGACAUACUACCAAUGGAGGUUUGAGGGUUUUUUUUUUUGGUAACACUUUAAAAUAAAGGUUUAAUUUGUUAACGUUUAGCUACAUUAGUUAACAUGAACUAACAAUGAACAAUAUUUAUACAGCAUUCAUUAAUUUUGGUUAAUGUUAAUCUCAGCAUUUACCAAAAAAAAAAAAAAAAAGGAUAAAAAGUUUUUGAAUUAAAUGAACAAAGUUUAAUGAAUGCUGUAAAAUAUAACAGUUCUUAGUUUUAUUAUAUUUUCUACAUUUGUUUUAAAUUAAAUUAUUUAACUUAACUUGCCCUGCAUGUUUGUUGCUAUUACUUUUUCUAACAAUCAUUGCCUGGCAGGUGAUAAAAAAAUAUCUUUAAUUUGCUUUAAAGAAGAGUCCUAUUCUCUUGCAACUUUCGCCAGCAUGACAGUGGUGAGUGUUUCUUCUGAAAAUGCUGUUUUGUUGGAUUUCUUUUAAAAUUCAGUUAAGAUUGUUACUGUUUGGUGGAAAAGUUUUGUGUGGCCCAAUUUAUUUUACUGAAUUGAUUAUUCAUAAUGUUGAUGGAUUGCAUCUAAUGUUUCUUUAUUAGCAUGAGAACUGUUUGUCAAGUCAUUCUCAUUUGUUAUAGUGACACUUUAACCAGCAGAAAUCAUACAGUGUCGAUAUAGUGUCGUUCUCACACACAGUGGCUUGUUUUGCAGCAUUUAUCACAAUAUGACAUGAACCUCAAUGUCAGGCUUCCUCUUUCUCCUGCUUGCUGUUCAAAUUGACACUGUGAUUUCACCUUUCUCCAUCAGCUCUCCUGCUGUCCUGUCUCUCCUCCUGUUUCUCCUCUCUCACGCUCCCUCGAUUCGCACCACAGAGCCUGAGCAGCUGUACUCCAGUCUACAGGGGUUGUAAAAACCAGGGACGAAAGAGGAAGUUCUAAGGGAGCUCAUGAGUUAUUGCCCCCCAACGUACACAUGGGGGCCUGGGAACUGCCCUCCUCCCUCACCCGGCCUGAAACAAGACUGACGGCUGAAGCUUGAUGCCCCUUCACCCUACUGGCUAAGAGGCUACCGACCACUGAGAAUUACUUUGACCUCAGUGCACUUUUAAGCCGGUGGGACCAGCCUCAGAAGAUCAAAGGGUGGUUUAUUCAGGAUGAACUCUAAAAUGAUUUGCCAUACCCUAUGACUGUAACCCAAAAACACACUCUUGUAAUGGAUCAUCACAAGUGUCCUUCUGAAGACCUCACUGUUAUAUGCAUCAUACGUGCUUUAUAAAUAGCCCUCUCACAGUGUAUGUGAUGGGUGAGUAGACAUCACAUUUGCAGCAGCAAAUUCCGUCCACCUGCCCCGGCCAAGACCCAAGGUCCACUUACAAGACACGCACAGAUUUCUCCCCCUAAAGAACGGCUUUAACUGCCAGCUCUUUCCUUACCCCAUCUUCCAGUAUCCUCUCUACUGUCUUGGCUCCUCUGAGGACAAGAGUGGUUUUCGUGCCAGGAUGUGUUAGUGGGGGCCGCAAGCUGACCCAGAGCCCUGACCACUGCGGAACGUUGAGAAGUGUUAUGGUGCUGCGGUGAUCCCAACACUUGCACAAAGUGAACCUGAUUCUUGAGAACUUGGCUUUUGUCCAUGCUAAGAUCAUGAUCAUGUUUUAGCUUGACGAUAUUACAGCUGCUUUUCCUAUAAUUAUUGCUGUAUUACAUUUCUCGUAAAUUUAAAAGAUUUGUUAGGCGCUUACCACAUAAAGGGAGCACAUUAUCAUCAAACAGCCAUCUAAUUUGUUGUACACAGGUUACACCUGCACACUGUUGUUACAUCUAGAUUAAUUGGUGUUAUUAAAGCCAAAAUAUUAUUUAAAA
Long non-coding RNA from Cyprinus carpio (common carp), 3406 nucleotides. RefSeq lists it as uncharacterized. The transcript has 3 exons. The record is from RefSeq and is a predicted model, not a curated record. NCBI's taxonomy places the organism in Eukaryota, Metazoa, Chordata, Actinopteri, Cypriniformes, Cyprinidae.